This 391-nucleotide ribosomal RNA is filed under the name uncultured bacterium. RNAcentral describes it as "bacterial SSU rRNA". It matches the Rfam family "Bacterial small subunit ribosomal RNA", at positions 32 to 420 of the family's 1533-position model. The record is from RNAcentral.
AAUCAACGCUGGCGGCGUGCCUAACACAUGCAAGUCGAACGCGAAAGUGGAGCAAUCCAUGAGUAGAGUGGCGGACGGGUGAGUAACGCGUGGGAAUCUACCCUAGAGCGGGGGACAACCCGGGGAAACCCGGGCUAAUACCGCAUACGUCCUACGGGAGAAAGAGGGCCUCUGCUUGCACGCUCUCACUCCAGGAUGAGCCCAGUCCGAUUAGCUAGUUGGUAGGGUAAAGGCCUACCAAGGCCACGAUCGGUAGCUGGUCUGAGAGGAUAAUCAGCCACACUGGGACUGAGACACGGCCCAGACUCCUACGGGAGGCAGCAGUGGGGAAUAUUGGACGAAUGGGCGCAAGCCUGAUCCAGCAAUGCCGCGUGUGUGAAGAAGGCCUCGG